GUGCUCGCUUCGGCAGCACAUACACUAAAAUUGGAACGAUACAGAGAAGAUUAGCAUGGCCCCUAAAAAAAUAAAAUAAAAUAAAAAAAAGGAAAACCAAACUUCU
Small nuclear RNA from Mustela erminea (ermine), 106 nucleotides. Lineage: Eukaryota; Metazoa; Chordata; Mammalia; Carnivora; Mustelidae. The record is from RefSeq and is a predicted model, not a curated record.